AAAUCUCUGCCAACUGGGCAACAGUGAAACUAAUAUUAAUCGGUAGAAAAUGAGCCGACUUCGUCAAUCUAUCAACAAUAACCCAAAUUGCGUCGUUCCCUCUAGGAGUAUUCGGCAAACUCGUCACAAAAUCCAUGGAUAUACUAUCCCAUUUCCAUUCUGGCACAUCUAAAGGUACCAUCAUUCCAGCGGGUUUCUGAUGCUCAACUUUCGACUUCUGACAAACUAAACAGGAAUACACAAACUGUGCCACAUCUCGUUUCAAACCAGACCACCAGAAAAUCUUCUUUAAAUCAUGAUACAUCUUCGUAGCUCCCGGGUGAAUACUCAAGCUACUUCUAUGACUCUCUUCAAGAAUC
RNAcentral lists this long non-coding RNA (359 nucleotides) under Medicago truncatula (barrel medic). RNAcentral describes it as "long non-coding RNA (MTRU_LNC000473)". Lineage: Eukaryota; Viridiplantae; Streptophyta; Magnoliopsida; Fabales; Fabaceae. The record is from RNAcentral.